RNAcentral lists this ribosomal RNA (253 nucleotides) under uncultured bacterium. Its description in RNAcentral is "partial 16S ribosomal RNA". It matches the Rfam family "Bacterial small subunit ribosomal RNA", at positions 524 to 776 of the family's 1533-position model. The record is from RNAcentral.
UACGGGGGGGGCAAGCGUUGUUCGGAAUUACUGGGCGUAAAGGGCUCGUAGGCGGCCAACUAAGUCAGACGUGAAAUCCCCCGGCUUAACCAGGGAACUGCGUCUGAUACUGGAUGGCUUGAGUUUGGGAGAGGGAUGCGGAAUUCCAGGUGUAGCGGUGAAAUGCGUAGAUAUCAGGAGGAAUACCGAUGGCGAAGGCAGGUCUCUGGGCUAACACUGACGCUCAUGCACGAAAGCGUGGGGAGCAAACAGG